This is a long non-coding RNA of Saccostrea cuccullata (small rock oyster), 1666 nucleotides long. RefSeq lists it as uncharacterized. Lineage: Eukaryota; Metazoa; Mollusca; Bivalvia; Ostreida; Ostreidae. The transcript has 4 exons. The record is from RefSeq and is a predicted model, not a curated record.
UGUUUUUCCUCUGUUUUACUUUGAUGAUUGUUAUGUUAUGAAGCUUUUCUUGUAUAAAGCUCAAUUUCUCCAUGACCACGGAAGUAAACAUCCUGAUGCAUUCUUGUCAUGUGAAUGUUGAGAGCGUGUUCAUUUUUGAAAUCUCCUUUCUGACAGACCUAUCCCACGGGAUCAGCUGAGAUGUUAUUUCACUGGAUUAUUUAAUGGAUAGACUUAUUGGGCAUAUAUUUGGAUAUCUCUGUCCUCAACAUGGAAAAUAUGUUUUGUUCCUAACCAUCUAUAAUCAAUUCUCUAUGAAGUUCAGCCUGGCUGCUCUUCCUUUGGAAAUACACAGUUAGUCAAUCAACAUAGAAACACACAAACUUGAAGGAUAUUCUAGUGAGGGCUUGUGGAAAUGAUCUAUGUCUACUCUCAGAAUGGUGAAAGACUAUCAGAUUAUGCAAAGACUAACAGAAUAUCCUCUUUUGAAACACUGAAACAAGAAAAUCAAACAGGAUGGAGGAUUUAAGAAGCACAUAGAUAAAUAUGAUUUCCAACCAAUUUAACCAGUACCAUCAAAGACUGUGGUUUACAGGAUGACAAAGAAAGGACCCAGGAUUGUAUCUUUUACUGUCAGACACUAACUAUGAAUAAGAUGUAGCCAUUUAUCAAACUGAGAUCUAUAGUCAAAUCAAAUAUUGAAAAUAUGAUUUUCUGAUAGCAUGAAUUUAUUCUCACCAACUUCAAAGUAUCUAUAGCUGACUUUUUAUUUUUACCAACUCAUAUUGAAGACAGUUGUUAUGUAUGAGAAGUAUACAUUUAAACCUUUUAUUUUUCAUCUUAUUUCUAUAACCCCUUAGAAAUUACAUAGAUAUUCAGAUGCUAAAUUUGAUGUAAUUAUUACUUUCCUGGAAAUGUAAAUAUAUUUUAUUUGUGUAUAUGUGUGUAUUGUGCCCUAUAAUUAAAUUUAGAAAUUGAAAUAUGAUAAAGGUCCCUUAAUAUCCCACAUCAAGAUGCAGGUGCCCAAUAAUCUGUGAUGCAAUAAUAUCUUGAAUAUUAUUUAUUAUCUCAUACACUUCAUAUGCUUACUACACAGAAAAGGUUAGCGUAAUACACUUAGUUUUAUAGGACACUUUGUCAGGGUCAAAGCAUGAGAUUAUUGAGAUAACUACCUUUGACAAUAAUUUGCAAACUUUACAUCAUAAGAUUUGCUAUAGAUUUUUGGAUCAUUUACUCCUGAGUAAAAGUUAGUUCCUGAGAUUACUGAUUUGAAUCAUUUAAUGCAAUAACUUCAACAUUGUGUGAUAACUUAAAGACUUUAUAAAAAUUAGGUGCAAAUUCUUAGGAAAGUAUUGAAAUGUUAAUCAAAUGUACAAUAUUCAAGGGUGUUUAUAUGACUAUUACUAUGUAAUACCUUGGGUUUCUGUAAAAAUCCUAUAUUCACUACAUAGAUAAAGACCUGUAUAAUAUAUAUGUUGAACUAUGAUGAAGGAAAAAAAAAGGUCAAAAGCUCUCCCCUUUCAUUUCUUUCAUAUUCUGUCAUACACAACAAUAGAUAAAUUGCAGUCAUUUAUCAAACUGAGGUCUAAUCAAAUCCUAGAAUUGAUAUUGUGAUUUUCAGAUAGCAUGAGCUCUUUAAAAACUAAUUCUCACAGACCUCAAAGUAUCUACAGGUGACUUUUAUUUU